AAUGCAAACAAAGCAGAAUCAGCUCCCUGGGAGCUUGUGAAGGCCACGGUCUGUAGCAACAAUGGAAAUAACAGCCCUUCCCAGACAGCGGUGAGGUUGCAACAGGUGGACAGACCAGAUCGAGAUGCCUCCGCACCUGAUCUGGGGACCGGCUGUUUAGCAACCAGCCGUCAUGGUGCUGGGAUAUCUGGACCCCUCAGUGUCUCAGAUCUCAGAUAUUGAAGCCUGCAAAUACUUUGAAGGCC
Non-coding RNA from Pelodiscus sinensis (Chinese soft-shelled turtle), 245 nucleotides. Lineage: Eukaryota; Metazoa; Chordata; Testudines; Trionychidae. The record is from RefSeq and is a predicted model, not a curated record.